RNAcentral lists this ribosomal RNA (490 nucleotides) under Pichia fermentans. RNAcentral's name for it is "eukaryotic LSU rRNA". The stretch from base 118 to 270 matches the Rfam family "5.8S ribosomal RNA". The record is from RNAcentral. Lineage: Eukaryota; Fungi; Ascomycota; Pichiomycetes; Pichiales; Pichiaceae.
CUUCCGUAGGGUACCUGCGGAAGGAUCAUUACUGUGAUUUAUAUCUUAUACACAUGCGUGAGCGCACCAAACACCUAAAAUUGUAAUAAUACCAGUCACUAAGUUUUAACAAAACAAAACUUUCAACAACGGAUCUCUUGGUUCUCGCAUCGAUGAAGAGCGCAGCGAAAUGCGAUACCUAGUGUGAAUUGCAGCCAUCGUGAAUCAUCGAGUUCUUGAACGCACAUUGCGCCCCAUGGUAUUCCAUGGGGCAUGCCUGUCUGAGCGUCGUUUCCUUCUUGCGCAAGCAGAGUUGAGAACAGGCUAUGCCUUUUUCGAAAUGGAACGUCGUGGACGAAGUGAACUAAACUUUUAGCACGCUUUGGCCGCCGAACUUUUAACUAAGCUCGACCUCAGAUCAGGUAGGAAUACCCGCUGAACUUAAGCAUAUCGGUAAGUAGAGGGAAGGAUCAUUACUGUGAUUUAUAUCUGAUACCCAUGCGUGAGCGCA